This 744-nucleotide ribosomal RNA is filed under the name Cranifera cranifera. Its description in RNAcentral is "LSU rRNA". It matches the Rfam family "Eukaryotic large subunit ribosomal RNA", at positions 383 to 902 of the family's 3401-position model. The record is from RNAcentral. Lineage: Eukaryota; Metazoa; Nematoda; Chromadorea; Rhabditida; Thelastomatidae.
GAGAGUUCAGAGGGCGUGAACCGCUGAGAAGGAAACGGAUAGAGUUGACGAAACUCAGUGGCAUUCAUCCGGCCGAUCGGCUGUUGGCUGCUGUUCUGCGUUAGUUGGCUUCCUUUACGGGAGGUCGGCAACUUGGACGGCUCGGCCGGCAGUGAUUGCUGGUGCUUUUGCCAUUGGUAUGCGCUGAGAAGUUCGCUGUGGUGCGUUUAAGGCUGCUAAAGAGGACCGCUCCCGCAUGGGUGUGGAAACUUUUGGCGGUGUUGAGGCGUAUCCGCGGUGGAUGCUGAUUUCGCAGUGCAACGCUUGCUUGUAGCGCAACGGCUGUUGCGGACUGACGUGGCUGUUGGGCGGUCGCAUGCGACUUGCCUACAGUUUGCUGUUGGUCUGUUGGCGGUGCCUGGUUGCGUUGGCGUUUGCAUCUCGGUGUGAAAGUCGACCACCUAUCCGACCCGUCUUGAAACACGGACCAAGGAGUUUAGCAUAUGCGCAAGUCAUUGGGUGGUAAACCUAAAGGCGUAAUGAAAGUAAAGAUCGCUUAGAAUGCGGUUGAUAUGGGAUCCGUGUAGGCGCGGCAGCAAUGUCACACUCUGCACAGCGCACCAUAGCCCCGUUCUUGUUGCUUGCAAUAGGGCGGAGGUAGAGCGCAUACGCUGAGACCCGAAAGAUGGUGAACUAUGCCUGAGCAGGAUGAAGCCAGAGGAAACUCUGGUGGAAGUCCGAAGCGGUUCUGACGUGCAAAUCGAU